GGAGGGCUCGCAUAAUGGUAUUGCAGCGGUCUUGAAAACCGCCGGGAGUGAUCCUGUGGGGGUUCGAGUCCCUCGCCCUCCGCCA
This 85-nucleotide transfer RNA is filed under the name Ignavibacteria bacterium. RNAcentral's name for it is "tRNA-Ser". It matches the Rfam family "tRNA". Rfam says of the family: Transfer RNA (tRNA) molecules are approximately 80 nucleotides in length. Their secondary structure includes four short double-helical elements and three loops (D, anti-codon, and T loops). RNAcentral also lists the same sequence under 1 other name. The record is from RNAcentral. Lineage: Bacteria; Pseudomonadati; Ignavibacteriota; Ignavibacteria.